RNAcentral lists this ribosomal RNA (960 nucleotides) under Triticum aestivum (bread wheat). Its description in RNAcentral is "partial small subunit ribosomal RNA". Lineage: Eukaryota; Viridiplantae; Streptophyta; Magnoliopsida; Poales; Poaceae. The record is from RNAcentral.
GGUUGGCUCGUCCGGGACUACCGCGACGGGCGCUUCCUCCUCGACCGGGCGUCCUGCUGCUCCACCUGCGACAGCGACAUCGUCACGGAUCUCGCCGUCUGCGACCCCGUGUCCCGCCGCUACGUCCUGCUCCCGCCCAUCCCGGAGGACCUCGCCGCCAGCGCCGACAACCCGCUCGGCGUCCUCGGCGGCCGGCGCUGGUGCGAGCCCUUCCUCGCGCCGGCCGACGCCGAGGGGGGCAGGGACGAGGAGGAGCCCUCGUUCGUGGUGAUCUGGAUGGCGCGGUGCCCGAGGAAGGUCGUGGCGCUCGCCUUCUCGUCGCGGGACGGGCGGUGGCGCGCGCUCCCGUCGCCGGACUGCUUCGUCUGGAGGCGCCACCGGUCGCCCUUCUCCUGCCCGGUGCACGCGGUCUGGAACCGGCGGCACUACGCGCACGGCCGCUUCUACUGGGCGGACUGCCUCACCAACCGCUGGCUGGUGCUCGACAUCGGCGCCAUGGAGCUCUCCGUCCAGGAGAUCCCGGCGCCGGCCAGGUUCUGGGAGGAGAACGUCGUCGUCGUGGAGGGCGCGGACGGCGAAGUCGGCGUGUUCGCGCACGACUUCUACCACGCCAACGGCAACGCCAGCCUCAACUACUACACGAUCCCUCACGAAGUCGACGGCGCGGCGAAGUCGUGGCGGCUCGAGAAGACGAUCCCGCUGCCAUGGUCGACGGCGCACGGCCGUCCGUUCUGCAUCCGCGGCGCGGCCAACGGGUGCUUGAUCAUUGAAGUCAACCAAGACUCGCCGCGACCGUUCAUGUCGUCGAGCCACGACAGCCGGGACGUCGAGCUGUUUAAGAUCGACGUCGGGCGCCUCGAGCUGGAGAGAGUCUGCCGGGCGCGGUGCUCCGGCGGUGUCAGCGACGGCUGGUGGCCGUACUUCGGCUUCCCGCCGUUGCUGAGCUUGCCAACUGUUUGA